This 1372-nucleotide ribosomal RNA is filed under the name uncultured bacterium. RNAcentral's name for it is "bacterial SSU rRNA". It matches the Rfam family "Bacterial small subunit ribosomal RNA", at positions 28 to 1381 of the family's 1533-position model. The record is from RNAcentral.
GAUGAACGCUGGCGGCGUGCCUAAUACAUGCAAGUCGAGCGAACGGACGAGAAGCUUGCUUCUCUGAUGUUAGCGGCGGACGGGUGAGUAACACGUGGAUAACCUACCUAUAAGACUGGGAUAACUUCGGGAAACCGGAGCUAAUACCGGAUAAUAUUUUGAACCGCAUGGUUCAAAAGUGAAAGACGGUCUUGCUGUCACUUAUAGAUGGAUCCGCGCUGCAUUAGCUAGUUGGUAAGGUAACGGCUUACCAAGGCAACGAUGCAUAGCCGACCUGAGAGGGUGAUCGGCCACACUGGAACUGAGACACGGUCCAGACUCCUACGGGAGGCAGCAGUAGGGAAUCUUCCGCAAUGGGCGAAAGCCUGACGGAGCAACGCCGCGUGAGUGAUGAAGGUCUUCGGAUCGUAAAACUCUGUUAUUAGGGAAGAACAUAUGUGUAAGUAACUGUGCACAUCUUGACGGUACCUAAUCAGAAAGCCACGGCUAACUACGUGCCAGCAGCCGCGGUAAUACGUAGGUGGCAAGCGUUAUCCGGAAUUAUUGGGCGUAAAGCGCGCGUAGGCGGUUUUUUAAGUCUGAUGUGAAAGCCCACGGCUCAACCGUGGAGGGUCAUUGGAAACUGGAAAACUUGAGUGCAGAAGAGGAAAGUGGAAUUCCAUGUGUAGCGGUGAAAUGCGCAGAGAUAUGGAGGAACACCAGUGGCGAAGGCGACUUUCUGGUCUGUAACUGACGCUGAUGUGCGAAAGCGUGGGGAUCAAACAGGAUUAGAUACCCUGGUAGUCCACGCCGUAAACGAUGAGUGCUAAGUGUUAGGGGGUUUCCGCCCCUUAGUGCUGCAGCUAACGCAUUAAGCACUCCGCCUGGGGAGUACGACCGCAAGGUCGAAACUCAAAGGAAUUGACGGGGACCCGCACAAGCGGUGGAGCAUGUGGUUUAAUUCGAAGCAACGCGAAGAACCUUACCAAAUCUUGACAUCCUUUGACAACUCUAGAGAUAGAGCCUUCCCCUUCGGGGGACAAAGUGACAGGUGGUGCAUGGUUGUCGUCAGCUCGUGUCGUGAGAUGUUGGGUUAAGUCCCGCAACGAACGCAACCCUUAAGCUUAGUUGCCAUCAUUAAGUUGGGCACUCUAAGUUGACUGCCGGUGACAAACCGGAGGAAGGUGGGGAUGACGUCAAAUCAUCAUGCCCCUUAUGAUUUGGGCUACACACGUGCUACAAUGGACAAUACAAAGGGCAGCGAAACCGCGAGGUCAAGCAAAUCCCAUAAAGUUGUUCUCAGUUCGGAUUGUAGUCUGCAACUCGACUACAUGAAGCUGGAAUCGCUAGUAAUCGUAGAUCAGCAUGCUACGGUGAAUACGUUCCCGGGUCU